AGCACUCGAGGACAGGAGAGGGAAGCGGAAUUCCCGGUGGAGUAGUGAAAUGCGUAGAUAUCGGGAGGAACACCAGUGGCGAAGGCGGCUUCCUGGACUGUUCCUGACACUGAGGCGCGAAAGCCAGGGGAGCGAACCGAAUUAGAUACUCGGGUAGUCCUGGCCCUAAACGGUGCGGACUAGGUGUUGGGGGUAUCGACCCCCCCAGUGCCGUAGCUAACGCGCUAAGUCCGCCGCCUGGGAACUACGACCGCAAGGUUAAAACUCAAAGGAAUUGACGGGGCCCCGCACAAGCAGCGGAGCGUGUGGUUUAAUUCGAUGCAACACGAAGAACCUUACCUGGGCUUGACAUGCACCCGACGGCGGCGGAAACGUCGCCUUCCGCGAGGACGAGUGCACAGAUGCUGCAUGGCUGUCGUCAGCUCGUGCCGUGAGGUGUUGGGUUAAGUCCCGCAACGAGCGCAACCCUCGUCGUUAGUUAAAUAUCUCUAGCGAGACUGCCGAGAGAAACUCGGAGGAAGGUGGGGAUGAAGUCAAGUCAGCAUGGCUCUUACGUCCAGGGCUACACACACGCUACAAUGGCCGGUACAGAGGGUUGCCAACCCGCGAGGAGGAGCCAAUCUCAAAAAACCGGCCCCAGUUCAGAUUGCAGGCUGCAACUCGCCUGCAUGAAGGCGGAGUUGAUAGUAACCGCAGAUCAGCAUGCUGCGGUGAAUGCGUUCCCAGGGCUUGUACACACCGCCCGUCACGUCAUGAAAGCCGGU
This 764-nucleotide ribosomal RNA is filed under the name uncultured bacterium. Its description in RNAcentral is "bacterial SSU rRNA". It matches the Rfam family "Bacterial small subunit ribosomal RNA", at positions 637 to 1415 of the family's 1533-position model. The record is from RNAcentral.